Molecule: transfer RNA, 72 nt
Filed under: Camelus bactrianus (Bactrian camel)
Lineage: Eukaryota; Metazoa; Chordata; Mammalia; Artiodactyla; Camelidae
Also listed under: 2 other names
Rfam family: tRNA
About the family: Transfer RNA (tRNA) molecules are approximately 80 nucleotides in length. Their secondary structure includes four short double-helical elements and three loops (D, anti-codon, and T loops). Further hydrogen bonds mediate the characteristic L-shaped molecular structure. tRNAs have two regions of fundamental functional importance: the anti-codon, which is responsible for specific mRNA codon recognition, and the 3' end, to which the tRNAs corresponding amino acid is attached (by aminoacyl-tRNA synthetases). tRNAs cope with the degeneracy of the genetic code in two manners: having more than one tRNA (with a specific anti-codon) for a particular amino acid; and 'wobble' base-pairing, i.e. permitting non-standard base-pairing at the 3rd anti-codon position.
Source: Rfam by way of RNAcentral
AAGGGUAUAGCUCAGUGGUAGAGCACAUGCUUAGCAUGCACGAGGUCCUGGGUUCAAUCCCCAGUCCCUCCA